CCAGCUCAGCAGACUGGGUCAGAGAAGCCUUCAUCGGAGCAGCCUGGGCCAAAGGCUCUAGCUCAGCCUCCUGGAGUUGGAAAGACUCCAGCUCAACAGCCAGGGCCAGCAAAGCCUCCAACCCAGCAGGUGGGGACACCAAAACCCCUAGCUCAACAACCUGGGCUACAGUCUCCAGCUAAGGCACCUGGGCCUACAAAGACUCCAGUUCAGCAGCCUGGGCCAGGAAAGAUUCCAGCUCAACAGGCAGGACCCGGAAAGACUUCUGCCCAGCAGACUGGCCCAACAAAGCCUCCUUCACAACUGCCUGGCCCAGCAAAGCUCCCACCUCAACAGCCUGGCCCAGCAAAGCCCCCACCUCAACAGCCUGGCUCAGCAAAGCCCCCACCUCAACAGCCUGGCUCAGCAAAGCCCCCACCUCAACAGCCUGGCUCAGCAAAGCCCCCACCUCAACAGCCUGGCUCAGCAAAACCCCCAUCUCAACAGCCUGGCUCAGCAAAACCCUCAGCUCAACAGCCUAGCCCAGCAAAGCCCUCGGCUCAGCAAUCUACAAAACCAGUAAGCCAAACAGGAUCUGGAAAACCUCUGCAGCCACCAACAGUGUCUCCAUCUGCAAAACAGCCUCCUUCACAAGACCUCCCUAAAACCAUCUGUCCUCUUUGCAAUACCACUGAACUUCUGUUGCAUGUUCCAGAAAAGGCCAAUUUUAACACAUGCACUGAGUGUCAAACCACUGUCUGUAGUCUCUGUGGUUUUAAUCCCAAUCCUCAUUUAACGGAGGUAAAAGAGUGGCUCUGUUUGAACUGUCAAAUGAAAAGAGCUCUAGGCGGGGAUCUGGCUCCAGUUCCGUCAUCACCCCAGCCCAAACUGAAGACUGCACCUGUUACCACUACAUCAGCAGUGAGCAAAUCAUCCCCACAGCCACAGCAGACUUCCCCAAAGAAGGAUGCUGCACCAAAACAGGAUCUCUCCAAGGCACCUGAGCCUAAAAAGCCACCACCACUAGUGAAACAACCAACCCUUCAUGGCUCUCCUUCAGCCAAGGCCAAGCAGCCCCCUGAGGCAGAUUCUUCAUCCAAGCCAGCCCCUCCCAAAGAACCUUCUGUCCCAUCUGAGCAGGACAAGGCCCCUGUUGCUGAUGAUAAACCAAAGCAGCCCAAGAUGGUAAAGCCAACCACAGACCUUGUAUCUUCAUCAUCAGCAACAACAAAACCUGAUAUUCCAAGCUCCAAAGUACAGUCACAAGCUGAAGAGAAAACAACCCCUCCUCUAAAAACAGACUCUGCCAAACCCUCACAGAGUUUUCCACCAACAGGGGAAAAAGUCACCCCAUUUGAUUCUAAAGCCAUACCUCGACCUGCAUCAGAUUCAAAAAUUAUUUCACAUCCUGGUCCCAGUUCAGAGAGCAAAGGUCAAAAACAAGUUGACCCUGUACAAAAGAAGGAAGAACCCAAGAAAGCACAAACCAAAAUGAGUCCUAAACCAGAUGCCAAGCCAAUGCCAAAAGGGUCACCAACACCCCCUGGCCCACGACCUACCGCUGGCCAAACUGUCCCCACACCUCAACAGUCCCCAAAGCCUCAGGAGCAGUCAAGACGUUUCAGUCUGAAUCUGGGAAGUAUUACUGAUGCCCCCAAAUCACAGCCUACAACUCCUCAAGAGACCGUGACUGGGAAACUCUUUGGGUUUGGAGCAUCAAUCUUCAGCCAGGCAUCAAAUUUAAUUUCCACUGCAGGCCAACCUGGACCUCAUUCACAAAGUGGACCAGGGGCCCCAAUGAAACAAGCCCCUGCCCCUUCACAGCCACCUACUUCACAAGGGCCACCCAAAUCCACAGGUCAAGCACCACCAGCACCUGCAAAAAGUAUACCUGUGAAAAAGGAAACAAAAGCCCCAGCAGCUGAAAAAUUAGAGCCCAAAGCUGAACAAGCUCCAACAGUAAAAAGAACAGAAACAGAAAAAAAGCCACCACCUAUUAAGGAUAGCAAAUCUUUAACAGCUGAGCCUCAAAAAGCUGUCCUUCCCACAAAACUGGAGAAAUCGCCCAAACCAGAAUCAACCUGUCCUCUCUGCAAAACUGAACUCAACAUAGGUUCUAAGGAUCCUCCUAACUUCAAUACUUGCACUGAAUGCAAGAAUCAAGUGUGUAAUCUCUGUGGAUUUAACCCUACACCACAUUUGACUGAGAGAUUCAAGAAUGGCUUUGUUUAAAUUGCCAAACCCAGAGAGCAAUAUCAGGACAGCUUGGAGACAUACACAAAAUGCCACCUGCACCAUCAGGACCCAAAGCAUCUCCUAUGCCUGUUCCUACAGAAUCAUCAUCUCAGAAAACAGCAGUGCCUCCCCAAGUAAAAUUAGUGAAAAAGCAAGAACAAGAAGUAAAAACGGAAGCUGAAAAAGUCAUUCUGGAAAAAGUAAAGGAAACACUAUCAAUGGAAAAAAUUCCUCCUAUGGUAACCACAGAUCAAAAACAAGAAGAGAGUAAACUAGAGAAAGACAAAGCUUCAGCUCUUCAAGAAAAAAAGCCACUCCCUGAAGAAAAAAAACUAAUCUCUGAAGAAGAAAAGAUACGUUCUGAAGAAAAAAAGCCACUCCUAGAAGAAAAAAAGCCAACCCCUGAAGACAAAAAGCUACUCCCAGAGGCAAAAACAUCAGCCCCAGAAGAACAAAAACAUGACUUACUUAAAUCUCAAGUACAAAUUGCUGAAGAAAAGCUUGAAGGCAGAGUGGCUCCAAAGACAGUGCAAGAAGGGAAACAACCACAGACCAAGAUGGAAGGUUUACCAUCUGGCACACCUCAGAGUUUACCUAAAGAAGAUGAUAAGACAACCAAAACAAUAAAAGAACAGCCACAGCCACCAUGUACAGCAAAACCUGAUCAGGUGGAACCUGGGAAAGAAAAAACAGAAAAGGAAGAUGACAAAUCAGACACCUCAAGUUCUCAGCAGCCUAAAAGCCCCCAAGGUCUGAGCGACACGGGAUAUUCUUCCGAUGGAAUAUCAAGCUCACUUGGUGAAAUUCCAAGUCUUAUUCCAACUGAUGAAAAGGAUAUUCUCAAGGGACUCAAAAAGGACUCUUUUUCACAAGAAAGCAGCCCUUCCAGCCCCUCAGAUUUGGCUAAGUUAGAAAGUACAGUCCUAUCUAUUUUGGAAGCUCAAGCAAGUACACUUGCUGAUGAAAAGUCAGAAAAGAAAACACAACCCCAUGAAGUUUCUCCUGAACAGCCUAAAGACCAAGAGAAAACUCAGAGUUUAUCUGAAACCUUGGAAAUUACUAUUUCAGAAGAGGAGAUCAAAGAGAGUCAAGAAGAAAGGAAAGACACUUUUAAAAAAGAUAGCCAACAAGAUAUUCCUUCCAGCAAGGACCAUAAAGAGAAGUCUGAGUUUG
RNAcentral lists this long non-coding RNA (3387 nucleotides) under Pan troglodytes (chimpanzee). RNAcentral describes it as "long non-coding RNA NONPTRT016265". The record is from RNAcentral. Lineage: Eukaryota; Metazoa; Chordata; Mammalia; Primates; Hominidae.